This 467-nucleotide ribosomal RNA is filed under the name uncultured bacterium. RNAcentral's name for it is "partial 16S ribosomal RNA". It matches the Rfam family "Bacterial small subunit ribosomal RNA", at positions 28 to 507 of the family's 1533-position model. The record is from RNAcentral.
GACGAACGCUGGCGGCGUGCUUAACACAUGCAGGUCGAACGGAAAGGCCUCUUUCGGGGGGUACUCGAGUGGCGAACGGGUGAGUAACACGUGAGUAACCUGCCCUUGACUUUGGGAUAACUUCAGGAAACUGGGGCUAAUACCGGAUAGGAGCUCCUGCUGCAUGGUGGGGGUUGGAAAGUUUCGGCGGUUGGGGAUGGACUCGCGGCUUAUCAGCUUGUUGGGGGGGUAGUGGCUUACCAAGGCUUUGACGGGUAGCCGGCCUGAGAGGGUGACCGGCCACAUUGGGACUGAGAUACGGCCCAGACUCCUACGGGAGGCAGCAGUGGGGAAUAUUGCACAAUGGGUGGAAGCCUGAUGCAGCAACGCCGUGUGCGGGAUGACGGCCUUCGGGUUGUAAACCGCUUUCGCUCAUGACGAAGCUUUGUGUGACGGUAGUGGGUAAAGAAGCACCGGCUAACUACGUG